Molecule: ribosomal RNA, 447 nt
Filed under: uncultured bacterium
Lineage: Bacteria
Description: partial 16S ribosomal RNA
Rfam family: Bacterial small subunit ribosomal RNA
Source: RNAcentral
AACGAACGCUGGCGGCAGGCUUAACACAUGCAAGUCGAACGCCCCGCAAGGGGAGUGGCAGACGGGUGAGUAACGCGUGGGAAUCUACCCAAUUCUACGGAACAACUGAGGGAAACUUCAGCUAAUACCGUAUACGCCCUACGGGGGAAAGGUUUAUCGGAAUUGGAUGAGCCCGCGUUGGAUUAGCUAGUUGGUGGGGUAAUGGCCUACCAAGGCGACGAUCCAUAGCUGGUCUGAGAGGAUGAUCAGCCACACUGGGACUGAGACACGGCCCAGACUCCUACGGGAGGCAGCAGGGGGGAAUAUUGGAAAAUGGGCGAAAGCCUGAUCCAGCCAUGCCGAGUGAGUGAUGAAGGCCUUAGGGUUGUAAAGCUCUUUCAGUGGGGAAGAUAAUGACGGUACCCACAGAAGAAGCCCCGGCUAACUUCGUGCCAGCAGCCGCCGUAA